CGGGAUGUGGCUCAACUUGGUAGAGCACCUGUUUUGGGUACAGGGGGUUGCAGGUUCAAAUCCUGUCAUCCCGACCA
RNAcentral lists this transfer RNA (77 nucleotides) under Rhodoluna sp. Its description in RNAcentral is "tRNA-Pro". It matches the Rfam family "tRNA". Rfam says of the family: Transfer RNA (tRNA) molecules are approximately 80 nucleotides in length. Their secondary structure includes four short double-helical elements and three loops (D, anti-codon, and T loops). The record is from RNAcentral. RNAcentral also lists the same sequence under 3 other names. Lineage: Bacteria; Bacillati; Actinomycetota; Actinomycetes; Micrococcales; Microbacteriaceae.